ACGUUAGCGGCGGACGGGUGAGUAACACGUGGGUAACCUACCUAUAAGACUGGGAUAACUUCGGGAAACCGGAGCUAAUACCGGAUAAUAUUUCGAACCGCAUGGUUCGAUAGUGAAAGAUGGUUUUGCUAUUACUUAUAGAUGGACCUGCGCCGUAUUGGCUAGUUGGUAAGGUAACGGCUUACCAAGGCGACGAUACGUAGCCGACCUGAGAGGGUGAUCGGCCACACUGGAACUGAGACACGGUCCAGACUCCUACGGGAGGCAGCAGGA
RNAcentral lists this ribosomal RNA (273 nucleotides) under uncultured Staphylococcus sp. RNAcentral describes it as "partial 16S ribosomal RNA". It matches the Rfam family "Bacterial small subunit ribosomal RNA", at positions 89 to 354 of the family's 1533-position model. The record is from RNAcentral. Lineage: Bacteria; Bacillati; Bacillota; Bacilli; Caryophanales; Staphylococcaceae.